UUUUUAUUUUUAUUACUCUAUUAGUCACUACAACUAUUUUCUGAUUGCUAUGGUGAUAGAUGGUUUAAAACAAGCCUUCAUUAAGAAUUGUCACACCAUGGUCUCAGUCAAAAACACCAACAUUUUUAUUGGUAUUGACAAUUAUGGGAAUAUCCAAUUCCAAGAAGACAAGGAGACCUCUGAACUUUCUAAAUGAAGACUCCAAUCUUCCUGAUCUGAUGGGAAGCAGCUUG
RNAcentral lists this long non-coding RNA (233 nucleotides) under Homo sapiens (human). RNAcentral's name for it is "HSALNT0017282". Lineage: Eukaryota; Metazoa; Chordata; Mammalia; Primates; Hominidae. The record is from RNAcentral.